Molecule: ribosomal RNA, 253 nt
Filed under: uncultured bacterium
Lineage: Bacteria
Description: partial 16S ribosomal RNA
Rfam family: Bacterial small subunit ribosomal RNA
Source: RNAcentral
UACGGAGGGGGCUAGCGUUGUUCGGAAUUACUGGGCGUAAAGAGCUCGUAGGCGGCUCGUCACGUCGGGUGUGAAAGCCCGGGGCUUAACCCCGGGUCUGCAUUCGAUACGGGCAGGCUAGAGUGUGGUAGGGGAGAUCGGAAUUCCUGGUGUAGCGGUGAAAUGCGCAGAUAUCAGGAGGAACACCGGUGGCGAAGGCGGAUCUCUGGGCCAUUACUGACGCUGAGGAGCGAAAGCGUGGGGAGCGAACAGG